UCAAGCACCUUGGUGACUACGAUCAUUUCAUGCAUGUUUAUUUUUCUUUCUUAAAAUAUUGACCUUGUGAUCAUAACAAAUGGCGUCACCAAUGGGUGCAGUUGACUUCGUACAAAGCUUUUGGAAUGACCCUUACAGAUGGUCCUUGGUAAAGGGUGUUGCGUUGUUUGGUUUGGCUAUCUUCAUUGCUCAUGAACUUGAAGCUGCAGAGAUGGAGGCUGCAGCAGAGACAGCAGCACAGCUUUCAAGUCCUUCUUGAUAAAAUAUCCAUGAUGAACAAGUGACUGGAUGCCUCUUUUUGUGUUCUUGUAAAUUUUGUACAAAUAAAAAGACAAAUCACUCCA
This is a long non-coding RNA of Mya arenaria, 344 nucleotides long. RefSeq lists it as uncharacterized. The transcript is spliced from 3 exons. The record is from RefSeq and is a predicted model, not a curated record. Lineage: Eukaryota; Metazoa; Mollusca; Bivalvia; Myida; Myidae.